This 202-nucleotide unclassified non-coding RNA is filed under the name Hevea brasiliensis (rubber tree). Lineage: Eukaryota; Viridiplantae; Streptophyta; Magnoliopsida; Malpighiales; Euphorbiaceae. The record is from RNAcentral.
GGGGGAUAUGAACGUCUUCAGCAACAAGAGCUAAAUGGUCCACUCUAUUUAUAUUGUGUACAAAUCAAACUGUUUCAUUCUACUGAGACUAUCCUAAAGGAAUAAGUAGACCAGACGACAACAGAAUCUUAGUUAUAUCUUUUAGCUCUAUAUUUAACUUCUGGGUUGCGGAUGUCAUCUAGGCUCUGGAUCAACCGAAUUU